CUUGGUUAGUCCGUACAUCCAACCCACCAACGCCAUCAUCAAAUCUGUACCCCAAAGAAAAUGCCCAUGAAAGAGCAACACUCACCCAGCAGACCUCUGCCUCUCCCAAAGAAAGUGUCACCUGCCCCUUUUCCCUAGAGUCCUCUCAGUGGCUGAAAAGAAGGCAGGGUAGCUGGGGCCCCUCUGUCACAUGGAUCAGGAUCUGGGCCUACUCUAAUGCAUCCCUGUGAUCUAGGUGUGGAGAUCACGGUCCCAUCCACACCUCCCGGGCCAACAUUCUCGGGAACUGCUGCUGUACAGAGUCAAAUAAUCGCUUGUACUCCAGUUCAAGCUCCCACUCCAUUGUGGCCAGGUGGGUCAAAUUGUGUUCCAGAUCAGUUGCUUCUGAGAGAUCCAGUAGGUGUUCCCUAUUUUCCCGAAUGUCAUUGGAAGUCCUUAGAAGUUCUGUCUCAAAUUCAACUUUAUCCUCAAGGGCCUCCCACAAUAGGCCAGGGCCAUCAUAUCCCUAACCUUCUGGAGGGUCGUCAUCUGCUAGAAAUGGGUACUGCAGUACUGCAUACCACCUUAAAACCCGGUACGAAUCAUCCAGCCACAAUUCUUUCUGGGCCAGCUCCUCUAAUUUAAACUUACUUUCCACCAGGGGCUGCUCUCACAAGAAUUGCAUCCUCAAAUAGAAACCUAGAAUGUGACGGCAGAUAAGAACCAUUAGGCCCAUCUAGUCUGCCCAAUUUUCUAAAUACUUUCAUUAGUCCCUGGCCUUAUCUUA
Pelobates cultripes (western spadefoot toad) is the source of this 766-nucleotide non-coding RNA. NCBI's taxonomy places the organism in Eukaryota, Metazoa, Chordata, Amphibia, Anura, Pelobatidae. The record is from the annotation of a GenBank genome assembly.